This 445-nucleotide ribosomal RNA is filed under the name uncultured Actinomycetes bacterium. RNAcentral's name for it is "bacterial SSU rRNA". It matches the Rfam family "Bacterial small subunit ribosomal RNA", at positions 33 to 485 of the family's 1533-position model. The record is from RNAcentral. Lineage: Bacteria; Bacillati; Actinomycetota; Actinomycetes.
ACGCUGGCGGCGCGCCUAAUGCAUGCAAGUCGAGCGACGCAUGCUCGGUGGGUAACCACUGGGUAUGACGGAGCGGCGAACGGGUGAGUAUCACGUGAGUAACCUGCCCCGAAGACCGGGAUAGCCCGGGGAAACCCGGAUUAAUACCGGACACCCUCUCUGGAUCGCAUGGUCCGGUGAGGAAAGGCCUUUGUGCUUCGGGAUGGACUCGCGGCCUAUCAGCUUGUUGGUGAGGUAAAGGCUCACCAAGGCAACGACGGGUAGCUGGUCUGAGAGGACGAUCAGCCACACUGGGACUGAGACACGGCCCAGACUUCUACGGAAGGCAGCAGCAGGGAAUCUUGUCCAAUGGGCGAAAGCCUGAGACAGCGACGCCGCGUGAGGGAUGAAGGCCUUCGGGUUGUAAACCUCUUUCAGGAGGGACGAAAUUGACGGUACCUCCAGA